UACGUAGGGGGCAAGCGUUGUCCGGAAUCAUUGGGCGUAAAGAGCGCGUAGGCGGUCCGGUAAGUCCGCUCUGAAAGUCCGGGGCUCAACCCCGGGAGGCGGGCGGAUACUGUCGGGCUAGAGUCCGGAAGAGGCGAGUGGAAUUCCUGGUGUAGCGGUGAAAUGCGCAGAUAUCAGGAGGAACACCGAUGGCGAAGGCAGCUCGCUGGGACGGUACUGACGCUGAGGCGCGAAGGCGUGGGGAGCAAACAGG
This 253-nucleotide ribosomal RNA is filed under the name uncultured bacterium. RNAcentral's name for it is "partial 16S ribosomal RNA". It matches the Rfam family "Bacterial small subunit ribosomal RNA", at positions 524 to 776 of the family's 1533-position model. The record is from RNAcentral.